GUUCUUAUUAUAGAUCAGGCUGUAGUGUGGUAUAAUUCAGGUUUUACUUUUUGUUUGGAAUCAUUUUCUAAACUUCCAUAUUGAAAUUUGCUUCAGUUUCUGAGGUGCUGAUUGUUAAAAAUCGUGAACUGUUACUUGCUACAGUUUCAAGGAGGCUCUCUAGCCCUGCCGAACCAUUGCCAACAUCAGCUUUGGUUUUGUGUAGUGAACUCCAUUGAAGCCUCUAUAGUGAAGAUACCACAAACUCUGCAGGCAGGUGGUUCCAGUACUGCACUGUCUUUGUGUGGGAAUAAUCCUGCCUGAUACCUGUCUUGAAAAAUGCAGACACAAUUUGUAGCCUUUUUUUUCUUCUUACACCAUCUGUUACUUCUGAGGAGAGCUUUGCUGUGUUAGUCCUAUUCGAGAUGAUGCAGUCUGCAAUUACCUCACUGUGUAGCUUUUCUCUUUACAAGACCAAACAAGUCCUGCUUUCUCACCUCCUGUGCUUCUGUCCCCUAACUCUCUGAAUAUUAGUCAUCAUGCCAUACUUGUCUAUACAGUACCUUUCUCAUCUGGAAGAGAUGAAGAUGUGAAAAGCCCCUGUGAGGAUAGUGGGGAAGAUCUUAGAAUGGUAUGAAGUAGGAGCAUAGGUACCUAAUCUGGGUGCUAAUUAGGUGUGUCAGUUUAGAAGCUCUUCAAGUUAUUGCUUGUAUUUUACCUUUUCCACCCAGAUAACUGACAAGAAGUUGGUUCUGGAGAAGUUAAGAUUUCUUAAGAAAAAAGGGUGGCAGCAUGCUGUGCCUUAGGUCUCCACAACUCCUACAGAUGUCGCCUACACUAGUUUGUUUUCCGAAACCUCUUGUAAGGAGAAAUUUAUCUAGAAUAUAAUGCAAAACUAAAAUCUCAACCAGGACUUCAGAAGUUAAUUUCUUUGUGGCUGUGUAGUUUCAUCCAUAAUGUGCAGUGCAUUCCAUCAAACUUACAGGAUGUGUAACCUGGCAAAGCAAACUCUGCUACUGGAACUGGAGCGUUUAUAUUCCCUGAUAUCCUUGUGUUACCUGUUUAACUUUUGCUAAUACUUUUGUGACACUUUAUUAAUAAAAUGUAACAUGUCCAUGACAGUAAUUUAAUUUUACUCUGAAACAUGGUAAUAAAUGUUUGAACUGUAGAGCAUUUAUGUAGAAGUGUUUUAGCCUGAAGAAAUGUUUAGAGGAGAAGCUGAGCUGUGCUUCUCCCACUGGCACUACAAUUUAGCAGUGUAUAUUCAGAAGUAAAUGGUUUUCAGAUUAGAACAUCCUCUUACAAUGAAACCAGCCAGAGGCAUGAACAUUAAAAAGAUCAGGAGAACAGUACUGCCCAGAUGAAAGACAGGCAGAUGGGUGGUGAAGCAGUCCGUGCACAAAAUGAACAUGGUGCCCUUGUGGAAGCUUAACUGAAUGCCUGGUUUGCCAGGGCUGCAUGACUUCUGCAUAAUUUUGUCUUGUAGACUGGGAAUUGACCCAUGCAAUUGGAAAAGGAGGUAUUGACUUUAAAACAAACAAACAAAAACAAAACAA
Tympanuchus pallidicinctus (lesser prairie-chicken) is the source of this 1535-nucleotide long non-coding RNA. RefSeq lists it as uncharacterized. Lineage: Eukaryota; Metazoa; Chordata; Aves; Galliformes; Phasianidae. The record is from RefSeq and is a predicted model, not a curated record. The transcript has 2 exons.